GAUGAUGCGACACCUGCAUGAUGAGAUGAUGCGAGGUGAAUGAAGUAGGCAUUGUGAUCUAGCGGGAGGUUGCUGUUAUUUCCUUUCGCUGGGACACUCAGCAAGUUAAACGUGGACGCAGAGAUAUGCAGCAAAGAGAUGGUUUAUGUGCAAGACCCGAGAGGGAGGGAAGAACACAUCUCAAGCCCACCUCCCCACAGGCAAAGGAUUUGGGGAAUUUAUGGGAUAAAGAAUAAAGCAGCAGGUGACCAGGAGAGUGGGGAAGAGGGAUCAGAAAAAGUUUCACUGCUGUUGACCUUGGGUUGAUACAUCAGAAGAAAGAUCGUCUGCUUGACGUGGUCCUGAGUCAUCACGCCAGGAGAGCAUCAUUGGCUGAGGAUCGGAGUGGUGGGGACCUCGCGGAGGAGGCAAGAUUUCAUCACGCUGCUCAGGAGGAACCACUAUCAUGGAUGUUCCAGCAGCCCUGGACCAAGCUGGAAAAUAGCCAGUUUUUCGGAAGAGGUUUUUAGAAGACUAGAUGUAUUCAAGCAUAUUUCCAAAAAAUGCCAUUACAGUUGCCUUAACUGCUCUAUAAGACCUGGAAUCAAAGAACACUGAGAAUUAGAACACACACAUCAAGCUGUAAUACCUACUUGUGCUGAACCAUUACUACCAAAGGGAUGUUGUUUCUUAAAGAAGCAGAUGUGUGGCAAUGCAAAAUAAAAUACAAACUGGUUAGAACAGUAAACUUUGUUUCAAUGGCUAUAGAAAGGAGGUGGUUUUGUUGUGUGUUUUUUUAAAACAUCUGGUCUGGCAGCAAGAUGUAAUAUGCAUUUAGAGCAAUACAUGCCCUGAAAGCUUAUAUUUUCAGUUGUGUGCAUCACCUGAACUCAGAGCCCAGAUGAAAAAAGUAAUCACUCUCCAUACUCUCAACACCCCUCCCUCCAUAAGGUCACAAUAUUCCUAAACUCGAGAUUCUUGUUGGUGAACUAUUUUACAAUUUUUUCUCCAAUGACACUGGAUGCUUUUAG
This is a non-coding RNA of Odocoileus virginianus texanus, 1010 nucleotides long. The record is from RefSeq and is a predicted model, not a curated record. NCBI's taxonomy places the organism in Eukaryota, Metazoa, Chordata, Mammalia, Artiodactyla, Cervidae.